Molecule: long non-coding RNA, 2539 nt
Organism: Dendronephthya gigantea
Lineage: Eukaryota; Metazoa; Cnidaria; Anthozoa; Malacalcyonacea; Nephtheidae
Exons: 11
Source: RefSeq, a predicted model, not a curated record
CUUGCUAAAACGCAUUUUUGAAACUGUAUAGACGACAAUCGUAUUGAUACUUCAUACAUUAGGUUUAUACAUCGCCUAAGGAAGGCCUAGAAGAACAGAUUAGGAUAACAUUUUAAUAAUCACUGGGAAUAUCUUCACAAAAGCAGACAAUUACUGGUGUAGAAGAGUCACAAAAACUAAAGCGGUCAAAUUCCAGAGAUGAACGCUGUUAUAACGAAAAGACAGAAAAACACCAUUUUGGUUCUGGGAGCAAUUACAGCUGUGUUUGGUGCCUUGUCUGGGGCCAGUGGUCUCCUCUUAAGAGAAAAAUACUUGGUGUUUAACAGACCAGACUGGGAUGUUGAUACAAUAUCUGGGUUCACUAAAGGAUAUUUUGGGGUGAUGUCAGGAUUUAUACUGUUUUUACUUGGUACUGUUGGUUAUGGUCUCGUCUUUACCAGGAUGUCUUAUCUGGUAUUUCUUUAUUGGCUGUUGUCCUUGUGUUGUGACACGUUGUGUAUCAUCGAUACUUUGCUGGUUUUUCCCUUCACAAGAGAAAAUGGAAAGUUUGCUUGGGAACGCAAUUCCAGUGAUAAUUGCACGCUACAACUUCUAUAUUCUGGAAACUCAACAACGAUAUCAUCUAAUACAAAUUUUAGAACAGAAGACCUCGAAUAUUGCGAGGAUAUAAAAGUUAUUGCUGUUUUAUUAAUCAUCAUCACCACCGCGAUACUGACUUCAUUAUUAUUUUCGUGCAUAACAACAAUUGUUACCAGUGUUGCUCUUUACAGAGCGAAAGGCUUCGCGGAUGCUGAAGAUUCCCGGAUCCAGAUGGCUCCUUUUUCAGUACCAGAUGACUUUCAACCAAUGAGCUUUAAUAACACAGUAUACCAAGGCGAUGGUUACCGAAAAUAGCAAAUUACAGAAGAAAAAACUAAAAACGUACAAGAACAAUAACUGAAGGGAAAUUAAACCUCACAUAUUUACAUAGAAUAAGAGAUGAAUGGUUUAUCGUAGAUUCGAGAAACAUGGUAUAUAUGAUCUUGGUAACUGUAAGGUCCAAUAUACUGGAAUAUGGUAUAUACGACUUUAGUAAGGUACAAUAUACUGGAAUAUGGUAUAUACGACUUUAGUAAGGUACAAUAUACUGGAAUAUGGUAUAUACGACCUUGGUAAGGUCCAAUAUACUUGAAUAUGGUAUAUACGACAUUGGUAUGGUUGAAAAUACUGUGAUAUGUUAUACUAUGUUUUAUUUGACCCUACCAAGGAAGGAUAUGGGGUAUAGUGUUCUCGACAUUAGUAAGAUCUAAUAUAUCGAAAUAUGGACCUUCUCGCAGUAUCGUUCAAAACAGCGCAUAACGCUGUAAUACCAGUAACACUGUAAUAUUGUAUGAUUGCUGACAUUUUUGUCGCCGUCGUCGGAUUAUACGCCAAUCAUGGAAAAUACGUUUAAAACAUUCCGAAAAUGUAUCAAAUUACUGUGAUUAAAAUUCUCACGGUUGAAGUUGCUUAAUUUUGCUGAUAUUAUCAAACAAUUUAUUUCGUCGAAAGGCGAAAAAACUUGUAAAAAUGCAGUCUACACUAGGGACUUAUACUAGUAAUAGAAGUUUAGGGCCACUUGGUAAAGUUAAAGUAUCUAAACCCAUCUCAAGAGGGGCAGCAAUAAUUGGUUUAUUAGAAUUCUUGCUUGGAAUAGCCCUCUUAAUUGGAGGCAUUUUACUACAUAUCAAAGAUGUGAAUGAAGAUUUAGAUGUGUCUGGUGAUCCUAAAUAUUAUGGCCUUUGGUCAGCACCAGGUCCUUUAAUUAUUGGUGUCCUAGGAAUUGUUGGAUGGUGGAAACGACAACGACAAAUGAUUGUGACAUUUUCAGUGAUGAGUGCACUAAAUGCACUCUUGUGUAUUGCACAAGCAUGUGUUUGUUUUACCACGAGCAUUUUGGUUCAAAGAUUUUGUUACAUUGUCAAAAUGUCGUGAUGAUAAACCAGAUGGCCAUGGCUUGGAAUAUGACCCGAAAGGGGAAGCUUCAGACAAACGAGAUUGUGAUGAAAUGAACAUUAUUGCCAGAUUAUUUAUCAUGCUUGCUAUCUCGUGUUGCUUUGCUAUUGUAAUAUCACUAGCUGGAAUAAUUGACGGAAUCUUAGCUGUAAAACAAAUUAAGAGAGAUCAGAUGGACCAACUUGAAGGUCUGACAAAUGCAGAAUUUAGACAAAUGGAACAAAAAACAGCAAUGUGGUUAGAAAAUAAUGUGAGAUUUUCGACUGGAUCUACAAUAGCUCGCUCGGAGAAGGCUCUUAGUGUUGUCAGUGAAAGUGGUUUCUCGUCAACAGGACCUCAAUCCCCAAGCACACCCACCACACCUGGUUAUAGGGACAAAAGUUGGGUAUAAAAACAAUAGUAAACUUUCAAAUAUAACCCAUAAAAUAUGUUCCGAUAUAACAGCACAUGAUGAGGUAUUCUAACAUGACCAGAUAUCCUAACAUGACCAGAUAUCCUAACAAUAAUUAAAAGCCUAAAAGAUUAGAGGAUAUUUAAAGGUUGUAAGAUCAGACAAACACUUCAU